ACUGCAACCCGCUCACAGUCCGCACCGUCGUGAGUCUACGCACGAUACACAAGGCUAAUGUCUCUCUCGUGAUGUGACCUGAACCAUGAUAUACAUGCAGCCAAAGGAAGAUGAGUCUUGACCAUGAGACAUGUACAAAAUGUGAACGGUACAGUAAAGAAUUCAACAAAAGGAACAACAGCCUUUGCGUGCACCUUGAGGUAACUUGUUUUAACUCCAUUUGGGACGAAGAAAAACAAAAACCGCGACGCCCUAGCCCAGAACUGAAAAAGAAGAAGAAAGAAGAGAUAAAACGGUCUGUCUCGGCCCUCAGGAAUUCUUUAGGAGGACAACUUCUAGUUCACUUAGAAGGCCUGAGUCCAGAAGAUCCGAGUCAGGGAAAUUUUGACGAGUUCAUAGAUGAUGACCUUCAAACCAUCAUAAAUGUUGAUGAAACAUUUGAUGAUGUUUACUACAAAAAGACACUCCAGGAGGAUCCGGAAUUUGUGGUUAUUGACAUUGAGCCUUCAUCUACAAUAAUCAUAACAGAUCCCAAGACUAAAUUUAUCAUAGACAAAGGGUUUACACCAGAUAGUGCACAAGCACUGCGGUUCUUCCUGAAACACAUCUCUUAUCAGCAAGAUCCCCAUCAUUCAGAGGUCAAGCAUAGACAGCCUUUCUUAAAUGAUGAGACUAUACAAACCAUAAAUGAAAAAAGAGAUAUUCAGCUGAAAGGAUUUGUCUUCAAUGACAUAACGAAAGAACAGAAGAAGAAGGAGGAAAUUUUGAGAGACCCAGAACAAUUUGUUGACCACUUGUGGGAUCUGCGUCUUCCCCUCUAUGUAACUGCUUUUGCAAAACUCAAAGGAGGUGGAUCAUAUAUUCUUGGCAUAGGAGAGGAGGAAAAGAAAUUUUCCACUGUGAUCAAAGGACAGACAUUCCAAUAUAUGUCUAAAUCAUUUGAAGUUCACGGAAUCGAACUGCCUACAGAAAAAUACCCUCAGAUAGAACAUUUAAUAGAGCAACGUUUGAAAGGUGGUAUGUGCUCCAUUGACUACAAGGGGGAAAGUUUAGAUUGGAACGACAUACAUAUCACUGCUCAUUUUCACGACAUAAUUGAAGAGGGCCGUGUACUGCUUGAAAUUGUAGUGAAUCCAAUCACAGGUGUAUUGUUCUAUGAUAACAAGGGACCGGAGGCAUACAAGGUGGAACAUAGAGAACCAUUUUUGAAGUGCACCCGCUGUGAGCUCAAGGACAUAAUAACAUCAGUUACAAAACAUUAGAAAGGUAUAUUUACAAAUAUGUCAGCUGAGAAGUUACCUGUCAAGGAUGCCAUCGAAGAAGACUUAACUGUUGAAGUCCCAAUUGCUACAAGCAAUCCUUUCCGCCCAACAGUAUAUGCAACUGAAACCUUUUUGGAGGAACUGUCUAACCGACUUCAAAAUGAUGUCCAUAUGCUCCCAGUGGGUGCAGUAAGAAGAUGGAACAAAGAAAUGCAAAUCCUUCUUGGUAGCUCAAAGAUUGGAUUGAUAUAUAUGGCAACAUCUCUUGCACAGAUGUUAGAUUUGCAACUGAAAGACACAAACAUUGACGGAGUUGUAUUUGAUGCAUGCGUUAUCGUAUGUGAUCAUCCAGUUCAAAUUCUUACCUUUGUUAGAAGCGUGUCAAAAGACAAAUAUCAUACCUUGAUUCAAAGAAAUGACGAGUUGUCUAAAGGUGUCCUGUAUUCAUUAAGGGAAUUUACUGAUGAAAAAUUUAACAUUUUGAAUGGUGUAUUUGAUAUAGAUGAUUUGAAAGACAGUGCAGGUUUUGAAGACAAAAGGAAUACCAUUUUUGAGAAGUCUAGUCGUUAUGUCAAUCCCAGAUCUCUUCACAUGAAUCCCAACAAAUGCCGAAACUUAUGCAAAGCCUUCUUCGUGGCAGCAGCUGUAGAUCACACAUCUAAACCUACAUCAUCAGACAAAAUAGUUCUGCUUAAGUGGGAUGUCUACCAACUUCUGGAAAAAUACCUUGAUGAACCGCUGGUAAUUGUGAAUUACGCAUCCAAAGAAAGAGCGAUAAAAGAAGUCGACAGAAGGUUAUCAAGAUCGGGAAGUACAGUGAAAACAAAAAGAAGAGUGGCCAUCCCGCACAAAAACAAGCUUGCAACACCCAAUGCUGGUGACUGUUUUGAAGACGAUACCAUGCAAAACGUGGCUGAUUAUUGUGCAUCUUCGCAGAUGCCACUCAAUGAAGGUAAUCUUUCUGCUGAUCAUUUGUGUAGAGCUACAGAAACAGAAACAUGCUCAAAGUGCCCAAAGUCAGAAACCACAACAAUUCGAUCAUCUAAUCCUACCGGCUUACAACAUUCAGAAGCCUCUCCUUUCACGGACAGGUUUUCCACAUCAGUCAUCAGUGUUGAAGAAAUGCCAAAGGAAGAAAAUAUCAAAAAGUGGUUGAAAGGUGUCACUCCUUUAUCAGAUUCUGGUUUAGGAACAGGCCAUGAUAAUGAAACAGCCACAUCAUCAGUCGAUAGUACAUCGUAUGAUAUCUCACGUUCAGGGCCCGAUCAGGAUCCAUACCAAUCUGACGCAGACACAGACUCUGGCGACAGUGCCUUCACAGGCGGCUAUCGAUUAUUGAGAGAACCUCGCUUAGAUGCGGACAGACCUGUCUCUGGUAUCUCCUAUGAAGGACGUGAAUCGCCAUGGAAGUAACAAUAACCAGGGUAAACAUAUUGAUCGGUGAAGCCAGUAAUAUAAAAAAACAAAGGGGUGAAGCCAUUAAUAUAAACAAAAGGAGUAUCACUGAUCGAGGUCUUUCAUUAGUUGAUGGUAUGCAGGGGUAUGUAAUAGCCUUCCUCACAGUUGAUUGAAGGCUGGAGUCUUUUGAUGUUGAUAACUUCUUGAAGUUUUCUGAUUAGGAAGUCUUUGAGUUUGGUGGUGAGGGCUUUGAUUUUGUCCCACUGGAUGCUGUUGCUUGGGUUGUCACGGACGUGGUCUUAUAGAGCUGACUUAGAACCAUCUUUGGAGACUGAGCUUUGAUGUUCUUUAGUUUGGGUUUUGAGGGGCCUAGAUGUUUCGCCAAUAUAAGCACAAUUGCACGGAAUUGCUGGGACUCUUAAAGAAACAGGCCAACGUCGAUGUGGUUUUCAAGAGAAGUCACAGCAUUCAGAACACCAAUAAAGCCACAGGAAAACUACCACCAUCCAGCCACAAGCUAAAACCAUCAGGAACAGUGUACCACAUUCCGUGCAAUUAUGGACAGGCUACAAUUGGCGCAACAUGUUAUAAAAAAGUUGUUCUUCUACUAGUAUCUUAUUUGAUAGUGAUUCAAAGCACCUGCCUAUGAUAUAGUUGGAAUCAUACAAUGAACUUUUAGCAGAGAUUUCUCAUAAUUAUGGAAAAAGGUUUGUCGCUUUUAUCUUCACCAUGAACGGUUUUUAAUGAAUACAAGAAUCAGAGGUUUAGAGUGUGAAUUUAGAUAUAAUAGCCCUGAACCUGGAUACCGUAAGGUACAUCCCGCGGAAUUAUAUUUCCACCUCAAAUAGUCACUACAGAUUUUGUAUCCUGGAUCACUUUUCUGUUACACAUUUACUUUUGUUUUCAAAGUGGCAUCCUCAUAUUAAAGGAACCGAAAUUGACUAUCUAAUGCAAUGUAGCUUACAAUAGCAACUGUUCAUCUAACUUCCCUUUCUAUUGCUUCCGCUCUUCCGCUGCUUCUCUGCGUGAUGUGACCUGGAGGAACAUACAGUAUUCUUGUACCAGCUUUCAGUAGAUGGUGGUGGUGUUCUUAGUAUUUAAUAUAAAGAGAUUUAUGAUACAUAUACUGCCACAUUUCAAAUACACGCAUGUACAUAUUUGUUCACCCCACCAAGACACAAUGAAAUGUCAAGUUCGAUUUACAUAAAGAUUCAUAUUCACUUGGACGUGUUGGAAUAAAGAAAUUGUGUUUAUCUGUUACAAUCACUAUUACACAAAUUGCGCCAUUAAGGAACAAACUUAUUGAAAGUAUUGAAAUAUGUGAAGAAAUGAACAUUAUGUUAAUGUUAUUGUUGUAUGGUUGCGGAUUUAUUAAAACCAAAUACCGGAAUAAUAACAUGGGCAGUGGAGUAAGAAUUUCGAAAUGAGAUUUUUAUAACUCGACAGCAGUAGUAUGUGUAAAUGCCCCCUGUCGUCUAUACUACUUCAUAUAUGUGUAGGGGCACGGGUGGCCCAGUCGUCUAAGGCGCCGCGAUUCGCUGUGCAGAUUUGCGUCCCUUGGGCACGCCAGAAACCUAUGAUUUUGGGUUCGAAGCCCGGU
Molecule: RNA transcript, 4260 nt
Organism: Haliotis rufescens (red abalone)
Lineage: Eukaryota; Metazoa; Mollusca; Gastropoda; Lepetellida; Haliotidae
Exons: 6
Source: RefSeq, a predicted model, not a curated record